GCUGUGGUUGCCUCUGAAGGUGAUCUUGAAAAGGCAGCAGAAAGUUUAAGAGAACUCAAGCUGGAUCCACCUGCUGCUCCCCUGAAGUCUGAUGAAGAAACUGGCGAUCCUCCAGUAGUUAGUAAUGGUAAACUUUCAGUUGCAGUUAGCCAGAAUGUGUUGGGGCAACAAGCACAGAAGCCCAAUCUACCUUCUAUGAUACAACAAAGAAGAGAUGACAGGGAUUUUAAUUACACAAAGACAUCUCUGCCAGUUGCAGAAUCUCCAGAAUCUGGGAAUAAAAAUCUGCAGCCUUUGAAGAGAAUACAGCCAAAGAUGGAGUGGGCAAAACCACAGCAAACUGCUGUGCUUGCUGAGAAAAGAUGGCCAAAUGCUGGAUCAAGUCCUUCUGUUUCUUAUUCUUUGGCAUCAUCUUUGCAAGUCUCAACUCCGCCAUCCAAGACAGAAGCACGUUUUGU
RNAcentral lists this unclassified non-coding RNA (458 nucleotides) under Hevea brasiliensis (rubber tree). Lineage: Eukaryota; Viridiplantae; Streptophyta; Magnoliopsida; Malpighiales; Euphorbiaceae. The record is from RNAcentral.